This 132-nucleotide microRNA precursor is filed under the name Marmota monax (woodchuck). Lineage: Eukaryota; Metazoa; Chordata; Mammalia; Rodentia; Sciuridae. The record is from RNAcentral.
GAUUGGAGGCAGGAGGAUCACAAGUGUGAGGCCAGCCUCAGCAACUUAGCUCUUUUCAUUUUUUGCUUUGAGACAGGGUCUAGCUAAGUUGCUGAGGCUGGCCUCACACUUGUGAUCCUCCUGCCUCCAACU